GACGAACGCUGGCGGCGUGCUUAACACAUGCAAGUCGAACGGAAAGGCCUGCUUUCCCUUGUGGAUUGCGGGUACUCGAGUGGCGAACGGGUGAGUAACACGUGAGUGAUCUGCCCCCAACUUGGGUAUAAGCCUGGGAAACUGGGUCUAAUUCCCGAUAGGACUGCAGGGUGGUGCCUGUGGUGGAAAACGAUUUUCUAGUGGUUGGGGAUGAGCUCGCGGCCUAUCAGCUUGUUGGUGGGGUAAUGGCCUACCAAGGCGGCGAAGGGUAGCCGGCCUGAGAGGGUGGACGGCCACAUUGGGACUGGGAUACGGCCCAGACUCCUACGGGAGGCAGCAGUGGGGAAUAGUGCACAAUGGGCGGAAGCCUGAUGCAGCGACGCCGCGUGGGGGAUGACGGCCUUCGGGUUGUAAACUCCUUUCGACCGCGAGGAAGCCACCUGGUUGGAAGGGUGGUGACGGUAGUGGUAGAAGAAGCACCGGCUAACUACGUG
This 494-nucleotide ribosomal RNA is filed under the name uncultured bacterium. RNAcentral's name for it is "partial 16S ribosomal RNA". It matches the Rfam family "Bacterial small subunit ribosomal RNA", at positions 28 to 507 of the family's 1533-position model. The record is from RNAcentral.